Molecule: transfer-messenger RNA, 394 nt
Filed under: Urechidicola croceus
Lineage: Bacteria; Pseudomonadati; Bacteroidota; Flavobacteriia; Flavobacteriales; Flavobacteriaceae
Description: Standard tmRNA
Rfam family: transfer-messenger RNA
About the family: Bacterial tmRNA, also known as 10Sa RNA or SsrA, is named for its dual tRNA and mRNA-like properties. Its role is to liberate the mRNA from a stalled ribosome.
Source: Rfam by way of RNAcentral
GGGGACGACUGGUUUUGACAGCGAGGUCAGUCAAAUUGUAAGCAUGUCGAGCAUUGAAUAAGUACUCGUAAAAAUCAUAUUCAAAACUUAAACGGCGAGAAUAACUACGCUUUAGCUGCUUAAUCUGAAUUAAUAGUAAGAUUAGCCUAGUCUCACAAGGUGAGAAAGCUUUAUGUCUCCUGACAGCCUUGGUUAACGGCGUUCAAUUUUGAGACAUCGUAAAAGUUAACAUAGGAAUAAAAAGACCAUGGUUUUAUUCCGAAACUAAAAUGGAUAAGUUAAAAGUGGGCAGUUUUUGGUCAGCUUUUAAUCGAAAACCAAUCAAAAACUAAACAUGUAGAAAGCACUUUGGUUGCUUGUUUGGACGAGGGUUCGAGUCCCUCCGUCUCCACUA